ACGGAAGGCAGCAGUGGGGAAUAUUGGGCAAUGGGGGAAACCCUGACCCAGCAACGCCGCGUGAGGGAAGAAGGCUUUCGGGUUGUAAACCUCUUUUAGUAGGGACGAACAAAUGACGGUACCUACAGAAAAAGCAACGGCUAACUACGUGCCAGCAGCCGCGGUAAUACGUAGGUUGCAAGCGUUGUCCGGAUUUACUGGGUGUAAAGGGCGUGUAGGCGGAGAGGCAAGUCAGAUGUGAAAUCCUGGGGCUCAACCCCAGAACUGCAUUUGAAACUGUCUCCCUUGAGUAUCGGAGAGGCAAGCGGAAUUCCUAGUGUAGCGGUGAAAUGCGUAGAUAUUAGGAGGAACACCAGUGGCGAAGGCGGCUUGCUGGACGACAACUGACGCUGAGGCGCGAAAGCGUGGGGAGCAAACAGGAUUAGAUACCCUGGUA
RNAcentral lists this ribosomal RNA (436 nucleotides) under uncultured Clostridium sp. Its description in RNAcentral is "partial 16S ribosomal RNA". It matches the Rfam family "Bacterial small subunit ribosomal RNA", at positions 341 to 792 of the family's 1533-position model. Lineage: Bacteria; Bacillati; Bacillota; Clostridia; Eubacteriales; Clostridiaceae. The record is from RNAcentral.